UACGUAGGUGGCUAGCGUUACUCGGAUUUACUAGGUGUAAAGCGCAUGUAGGCGGUUGGAUAAGUCUAUGGUGAAAUUUCCCGGCUUAACUGGGAAGGGCCCAUAGAAACUAUCCGGCUUGAGUGUGGGAGGGGUGGACGGAAUUCCUGGUGUAGCGGUGAAAUGCGUAGAUAUCAGGAGGAACACCGAUGGCGAAAGCGGUCCACUGGCCCAAUACUGACGCUCAGAUGCGAAAGCUAGGGUAG
This 245-nucleotide ribosomal RNA is filed under the name uncultured bacterium. Its description in RNAcentral is "partial 16S ribosomal RNA". It matches the Rfam family "Bacterial small subunit ribosomal RNA", at positions 524 to 768 of the family's 1533-position model. The record is from RNAcentral.